UAUAUCUUUGUUUGUAUAUAAAAAUUAAUAGGUUAAUUCGUAGGUAUAAUCACGUGAUAUACGUAAGAUAUCACAUUACGUGUGUGUCCUCGAAAGUGUUCACUCAUACCAACCAAUCAGCGCUCUUCAAAAUUCGUACGUGCUGCUCAAGAUUGAAAACGAAGCUUUGUCAUCUCGUUAAUUACAGUUUUCCAAGAAAUGUAUGAAUUGAGAGAUUACGCAGUUACGCUAAGAAUUCUAUCAACAGUAUCGCAUGGAACGUAUACAUUAAUCAAUGAUUCAUCGAUUCUACACUUUAAUAAUUCAAUCUACUUCACGAUAACAUUCGAUCUAUUACGAGGGAGUCGAGUGUUUUGGAGCCAUCGCAGAACUUCUUAAGUAGUAAGUGCAAAAUUAAAAAUUUCUCUGAGGCCCAUCAUGCCGAUAAUGAAAGGUCAAUAUUAUAAUCUAUUUAUAUCACAGGGAGCACUGCUUAAUGUAAUAAAUGUUAAUUUUAUCUUUAAUAUUUCGUAUUGCAUUAUUUUUUC
Long non-coding RNA from Vespula pensylvanica (western yellowjacket), 527 nucleotides. RefSeq lists it as uncharacterized. The transcript has 3 exons. The record is from RefSeq and is a predicted model, not a curated record. NCBI's taxonomy places the organism in Eukaryota, Metazoa, Arthropoda, Insecta, Hymenoptera, Vespidae.